This 193-nucleotide unclassified non-coding RNA is filed under the name Cutaneotrichosporon sp. RNAcentral's name for it is "partial internal transcribed spacer region". The stretch from base 1 to 46 matches the Rfam family "Eukaryotic small subunit ribosomal RNA", at positions 1786 to 1831 of the family's 1831-position model. Lineage: Eukaryota; Fungi; Basidiomycota; Tremellomycetes; Trichosporonales; Trichosporonaceae. The record is from RNAcentral.
AAGUCGUAACAAGGUUUCCGUAGGUGAACCUGCGGAAGGAUCAUUAGUGAAUUGCUCUCUGAGCGUUAACUACAUCCAUCUACACCUGUGAACUGUUGAUUGACUUCGGUCAAUUACUUUUACAAACAUUGUGUAAUGAACGUCAUGUUAUUAUAACUAAAAAUAACUUUCAACAACGGAUCUCUUGGCUCUC